UACGUAGGUGGCAAGCGUUGUCCGGAUUUAUUGGGUUUAAAGGGUGCGUAGGCGGUCCUAUAAGUCAGUGCUGAAAUAUCCCGGCUUAACCGGGAGGGUGGCAUUGAUACUGCAGGACUUGAGUAGAGUUGAGGUUGGCGGAAUUGACGGUGUAGCGGUGAAAUGCUUAGAUAUCGUCAAGAACACCGAUAGUGUAGACAGCUAACUAAGCUCUAACUGACGCUGAGGCACGAAAGCGUGGGUAGCAAACAGG
Molecule: ribosomal RNA, 253 nt
Filed under: uncultured bacterium
Lineage: Bacteria
Description: partial 16S ribosomal RNA
Rfam family: Bacterial small subunit ribosomal RNA
Source: RNAcentral